AGGCCUAACACAUGCAAGUCGAGGGCAGCACAAGGAGCAAUCUGAGGUGGCGACCGGCGCACGGGUGAGUAACACGUAUGCAACCUGCCUGUAAGCGGGGAAUAACCCGUUGAAAGACGGACUAAUACCGCAUAAUACUAAAUUACUGCAUGGUAAUUAUUUAAACAUUUAUGGCUUACAGAUGGGCAUGCGCAUGAUUAGCUAGUUGGAGAGGUAACGGCUCCCCAAGGCAACGAUCAUUAGGGGUUCUGAGAGGAAGGUCCCCCACACUGGUACUGAGACACGGACCAGACUCCUACGGGAGGCAGCAGUGAGGAAUAUUGGUCAAUGGACGAGAGUCUGAACCAGCCAAGUCGCGUGCAGGAAGAAUGUCCUAAUGGAUUGUAAACUGCUUUUGCAGGGGAAUAAAGUGCAUCACGUGUGAUGUUUUGUAUGUACUCUGCGAAUAAGGAUCGGCUAACUCCGUGCCAGCAGCAGC
RNAcentral lists this ribosomal RNA (478 nucleotides) under uncultured bacterium. Its description in RNAcentral is "bacterial SSU rRNA". It matches the Rfam family "Bacterial small subunit ribosomal RNA", at positions 44 to 518 of the family's 1533-position model. The record is from RNAcentral.